GAUGAGCGCUGGCGGCGUGCCUAAUACAUGCAAGUCGAGCGAACAGACGAGGAGCUUGCUCCUCUGACGUUAGCGGCGGACGGGUGAGUAACACGUGGAUAACCUACCUAUAAGACUGGGAUAACUUCGGGAAGCCGGAGCUAAUACCGGAUAAUAUAUUGAACCGCAUGGGUCAAUAGUGAAAGACGGUUUUGCUGUCACUUAUAGAUGGAUCCGCGCCGCAUUAGCUAGUUGGUAAGGUAACGGCUUACCAAGGCAACGAUGCGUAGCCGACCUGAGAGGGUGAUCGGCCACACUGGAACUGAGACACGGUCCAGACUCCUACGGGAGGCAGCAGUAGGGAAUCUUCCGCAAUGGGCGAAAGCCUGACGGAGCAACGCCGCGUGAGUGAUGAAGGUCUUCGGAUCGUAAAACUCUGUUAUUAGGGAAGAACAAAUGUGUAAGUAACUAUGCACGUCUUGACGGUACCUAAUCAGAAAGCCACGGCUAACUACGUG
Molecule: ribosomal RNA, 497 nt
Filed under: uncultured bacterium
Lineage: Bacteria
Description: partial 16S ribosomal RNA
Rfam family: Bacterial small subunit ribosomal RNA
Source: RNAcentral